This 451-nucleotide ribosomal RNA is filed under the name Bacillus sp. (in: firmicutes). Its description in RNAcentral is "bacterial SSU rRNA". It matches the Rfam family "Bacterial small subunit ribosomal RNA", at positions 21 to 462 of the family's 1533-position model. Lineage: Bacteria; Bacillati; Bacillota; Bacilli; Caryophanales; Bacillaceae. The record is from RNAcentral.
GGCUCAGGACGAACGCUGGCGGCGUGCCUAAUACAUGCAAGUCGAGCGGACAGAUGGGAGCUUGCUCCCUGAUGUUAGCGGCGGACGGGUGAGUAACACGUGGGUAACCUGCCUGUAAGACUGGGAUAACUCCGGGAAACCGGGGCUAAUACCGGAUGCUUGUUUGAACCGCAUGGUUCAAACAUAAAAGGUGGCUUCGGCUACCACUUACAGAUGGACCCGCGGCGCAUUAGCUAGUUGGUGAGGUAACGGCUCACCAAGGCAACGAUGCGUAGCCGACCUGAGAGGGUGAUCGGCCACACUGGGACUGAGACACGGCCCAGACUCCUACGGGAGGCAGCAGUAGGGAAUCUUCCGCAAUGGACGAAAGUCUGACGGAGCAACGCCGCGUGAGUGAUGAAGGUUUUCGGAUCGUAAAGCUCUGUUGUUAGGGAAGAACAAGUACCGUUCG